Long non-coding RNA from Ceratitis capitata (Mediterranean fruit fly), 1306 nucleotides. RefSeq lists it as uncharacterized. The transcript is spliced from 2 exons. The record is from RefSeq and is a predicted model, not a curated record. Lineage: Eukaryota; Metazoa; Arthropoda; Insecta; Diptera; Tephritidae.
AUUUCAUUCGUAAAUUCAGCUGCUCGACGUUAUGUACAUCUGUUCUCUGCUGCUGCCGCCACUUAGUGUAUAAAUUGUUUGAAAGCAGCAAAUAUUUGAGACGCUGCCAUCACCACAAUCAUCAUCAAUGCCGCCUACAACCCCUUCACAAUCUACAAUAUAUUGUUAUUUCGAAAACUCGCGAACUCGUCUGUCGGGUCGUUACUAAAAAUCUUUGUUAAAUUAUCAUUAGCACCCAGCAGCAGCAGUAGAAAUUGUUGUUGCUUUGUUUUUGCUAAAUCUGCAGCAGUUUUAUCGAUUAGAUGUGCUUGCUUGGUCGAGUGGGGAGGAGAGACUGGUGAAGGGUGUUAUAUAUUUUCAUAUAGACAUUAUAGUAUUUGCACGUUGCUCCGGCAGAAACCACCUUGCAAAAUUUCGCUGAAAAAAAAAACCAGAUCGCACAGCUGUUGCUGCCAUUGAAGCGUUUGUUGUUGUUGGUACUGUUGUUGCCGCCAUUAUUGUUGCCAAUUGCUUUCAUGCGCUUAUUUUUAUUUAUUUAUGUACAUAAAUAUUUAUUUUUUUUACAUGCAUACAUACAUAUGUAUAUAGAAAAUUAUUUGCACCGCGCUUGGCUGCGCAGACAAGAUGUCGUCGCUGCCAGCGCAACUGCUGACGCCUACAAGCACUUUUCAACAAUAAAGCACAGGCAAUAAUAAUAAUAAUAGCAAUAAUAACAACAGCUGCAACGCAGCAGUAGCCGAGCGAAAAUGUCAAUGCGUCGUGUUGUUGGUGAUUUCGGCGUGACUCCCCCUCAAAUUUACACGAUAUACAAGUGUACGUAUAAAUCAUGAAAUGUUUGUGCGCGCACCGUUGAUUAAAUCACUCAAACAAAAGAGUCGGCUUCGACAUCAGCGCCCCCACAGCGCAGCACCGUAACGCCUUCGCGGCAAUUCUCUCGCCGUGCACGCUCGCUGCCGCCGUUACCGACGCGUUCGCUUGCGUCACGCGUUUCAUUUGGCGCUCGGCCGUAACUGUAUUCGCCGGUUUUCGUUUUGCAACAAAUUUUAUACAUUUUUUUCUGCAAUUAUUAUUUACCUGUGCAUUUAAAUAUGUAUGAGUGAAAAAAAAAAUAAAAUAAUUAUUUUAUUGCUUUCGGUUACGCAUACACGUGCACCUGUAAGGUUAGUCAGUUGCAUUUGGCGCGCGCAUUGAAUUUGUAGCACCGUGAAAAUUGUUGCGUCUGAAUAUUCAAAUUAUUGUUCGUGUAUAUAUGUGUGUAAACGAACUUUAGCGUAGGUUUUAAAACGAAUCAAUUAAAACAGUGAAA